RNAcentral lists this ribosomal RNA (253 nucleotides) under uncultured bacterium. RNAcentral's name for it is "partial 16S ribosomal RNA". It matches the Rfam family "Bacterial small subunit ribosomal RNA", at positions 524 to 776 of the family's 1533-position model. The record is from RNAcentral.
UACGUAGGCAGCGAGCGUUGUUCGGAGUUACUGGGCGUAAAGGGUGUGUAGGCGGUCCUUUAAGUUUGGUGUGAAAUCUCCCGGCUCAACCGGGAGGGUGCGCCGAAUACUGAGGGACUCGAGUGCGGGAGAGGAAAGUGGAAUUCCUGGUGUAGCGGUGAAAUGCGUAGAUAUCAGGAGGAACACCGGUGGUGUAGACGGCUUUCUGGACCGUAACUGACGCUGAGACACGAAAGCGUGGGUAGCAAACAGG